This 468-nucleotide ribosomal RNA is filed under the name uncultured bacterium. RNAcentral's name for it is "partial 16S ribosomal RNA". It matches the Rfam family "Bacterial small subunit ribosomal RNA", at positions 28 to 507 of the family's 1533-position model. The record is from RNAcentral.
GACGAACGCUGGCGGCGUGCUUAACACAUGCAAGUCGAACGGAAAGGCCCUGCUUUUGUGGGGUGCUCGAGUGGCGAACGGGUGAGUAACACGUGAGUAACCUGCCCUUGACUUUGGGAUAACUUCAGGAAACUGGGGCUAAUACCGGAUAGGAGCUCCUGCUGCAUGGUGGGGGUUGGAAAGUUUCGGCGGUUGGGGAUGGACUCGCGGCUUAUCAGCUUGUUGGUGGGGUAGUGGCUUACCAAGGCUUUGACGGGUAGCCGGCCUGAGAGGGUGACCGGCGACAUUGGGACUGAGGUACGGCCCAGACUCCUACGGGAGGCAGCAGUGGGGAAUAUUGCACAAUGGGCGGAAGCCUGAUGCAGCAACGCCGCGUGCGGGAAGACGGCCUUCGGGUUGUAAACCGCUUUCGCCUGUGACGAAGCGUGAGUGACGGUAAUGGGUAAAGAAGCACCGGCUAACUACGUG